UAAGACGUAGGGGCCGAGCGUUGUCCGGAGUUACUGGGCGUAAAGCGCGCGCAGGCGGUGGAUCGCAUCGAUGGUGAAAGCCCCCCGCUCAACGGGGGAGGGUCCGUCGAGAUGGAUGCACUGGAGGCAGGGAGAGGCCGGUGGAAUUCCGGGUGUAGUGGUGAAAUGCGUAGAGAUCCGGAGGAACACCAGUGGCGAAGGCGGCCGGCUGGACCUGACCUGACGCUGAGGCGCGAAGGCGUGGGGAGCGAACGGG
This 256-nucleotide ribosomal RNA is filed under the name uncultured bacterium. Its description in RNAcentral is "partial 16S ribosomal RNA". It matches the Rfam family "Bacterial small subunit ribosomal RNA", at positions 521 to 776 of the family's 1533-position model. The record is from RNAcentral.